This 504-nucleotide ribosomal RNA is filed under the name uncultured bacterium. RNAcentral describes it as "partial 16S ribosomal RNA". It matches the Rfam family "Bacterial small subunit ribosomal RNA", at positions 28 to 507 of the family's 1533-position model. The record is from RNAcentral.
GACGAACGCUGGCGGCGUGCCUAAUACAUGUAAGUAGAACGCACAGUUUAUACCGUAGCUUGCUACACCAUAGACUGUGAGUUGCGAACGGGUGAGUAACGCGUAGGUAACCUGCCUGGUAGCGGGGGAUAACUAUUGGAAACGAUAGCUAAUACCGCAUAAUAUUAAUUAUUGCAUGAUAAUUAAUUGAAAGGUGCAAUUGCACCACUACCAGAUGGACCUGCGUUGUAUUAGCUAGUAGGUGAGGUAACGGCUCACCUAGGCGACGAUACAUAGCCGACUUGGGAGGGGGACGGGCCAAACGGGAACUGAGAACCGGCCCGGACUCCUACGGGGGGAAGAGGUAGGGAAUCUUCGGCAUUGGCGGAAAGUUGGACCGACCAACGCGGCGGGAGUAAAGAAGUUUUUCGGUUCGUAAAGCUCGGUUUUAAGGGAGAAACGGGGGUGAGGGUGGAAGGUUCCCCCGUGAAGGUAUUUUUACCAGAAGGGGCCGGCUACUACGUG